Molecule: ribosomal RNA, 490 nt
Filed under: uncultured bacterium
Lineage: Bacteria
Description: partial 16S ribosomal RNA
Rfam family: Bacterial small subunit ribosomal RNA
Source: RNAcentral
GAUGAACGCUCGCGAUAGGCUUAACACAUGCAAGUCGAGGGGCAGCACGGUAUUAGCUUGCUAAGGCUGAUGGCGACCGGCGCACGGGUGCGUAACGCGUAUGCAACUUGCCUCACAGAGGGGGAUAACACGUCGAAAGUCGGACUAAUACCGCGUACACUCUAUGUUGGGACUCCAAUGUAGAGGAAAUGAACUUGGCUGUGAGAUAGGCAUGCGUCCCAUUAGCUAGUUGGUGAGGUAACGGCUCACCAAGGCGACGAUGGGGAGGGGAACUGAGAGGAUGAACCCCCACACUGGUACUGAGACACGGACCAGACGGCUACGGGAGGCAGCAGUAAGGAAUAUAGAACGAGGGGCGAGAGCCUGAACCAGCCAAGUCGCGUGAAGGAUGACUGUCUUAUGGAUGGUAAACUUCUUUUAUACGGGAAUAACAAGAGUCACAGGUGGCUCCCUGAAGGUACCGGAUGAAUAAGCACCGGCUAACUCCGUG